AUGACCAUAGAUCGAACCUAUCCUAUUUUUACAGUGCGAUGUCUGGCUAUUCACGGACUAGCUGUACCUAUUUUUUUCUUGGGAUCAAUAUCAGCAAUGCAAUUCAUCCAACGAUAA
This 117-nucleotide ribosomal RNA is filed under the name Triticum aestivum (bread wheat). RNAcentral describes it as "partial small subunit ribosomal RNA". The record is from RNAcentral. Lineage: Eukaryota; Viridiplantae; Streptophyta; Magnoliopsida; Poales; Poaceae.